CAAAGAUUACCAUGGCAACUGAAUUACUGCAUGACUAAAGGAAGUGUGUCUAGUGAAGUUUUUUCAGCCUAUGUUGUUUGCAUGAUACAUGGUCACCACUCCUGAAGAAUACUUUUGCUCCUGCUGAGUCAUCCCGCCUGCACCUUCCAUCCUUGCGGGAAAAGCCAUGUUGUCUGGUUCGCGAUAAAUGAAGGGCUUCUCUUGUUGGGCUCCUCAGCUCAUAAUGAGGAUUCCCAGCAGGACUGGAUGGAUCUGAAGUAAUGUGAGCCUGCUGUCCCACAGAUGUCUUUAAUAAUACAUGACAAAGAAGGCAGAGGAGCUCCGAGUGAAGCAAGGUGGGGAAGAAUGAGAACUAGAGCUCAGCCGCAAGAGUUGUGUGUGCCAGGAGGGAGAUGGACCAGAAAUGAACCGGCAUUUACUGGGGAAUCCAAAGACUUAUGACAUCAAUAACUUGCAUGUAUUUCUUCAUGUAGUUCUCAUCCUAUCCAUUUGAUAUUUGAAUUCCCCUUUCACAAAUAAGUUAAAGAAAUUGAAUGAUUCAUCAGUGGUCACGAAGGUAAUAACUGGGAAAACUGGCACUUGAACCUGAGACUGCAGCUUCAAGACCAAGUACCUUUCUUCUGUAUCAAUCAGAUUCCUAUCCCCGAGGCUCUCCUAUAUAGCAACUCUGGAGCUUGAAUUCCUUUUCCAUUUUCCCUCCUGAAUCCCAAACCCUCUCUUUGCUAUAUAUAUAUAUACCACUGGAAUAACUUGAAAGUAAAGAUUUUAUGUAGCAAACAAUGUCCUCUACAUGUGUGUUUGGCAAUCAUCCUUAGCCUCAUGAGUAUAUAUAAUCUUGUCUUAUCCUCAUGAGUAUUUCUCAGUAACAUUUUGAUGGAUGCAAGAGCUGACAUGGCAGAAGCAGUUGUCUGUUAUGUUGUCUCCAAUGACACAUGGCAAUCUUCCUCCUUAAUUAGGAACAGGAUGUAUGCAUGAUUUAUAUCUGCAAGCUAUGACUCUCCAAGAGGGAAGUCUCAGUUGUUAGUAUUUGAAAUAUCCUCUAUAAAUCCUAAAGUUAGUACAACAGAAUGUGAAUGGCAUAAUGGCAGAUACAUCAGAUUUUGCCUGACAUAUUAAAAAGAAUAAAAGUUCUUACUACCCUACAACCUGUUUAUGUAUGAAAUAAAUGUGCCAAUAUAUAGCAUCUAGAGAUGUCUAGAAUCAUAGAAUUUGAAAGUUUUAAUGAUCUCUGUUGAAGUUUGAGGUCAGUGUCUUUGUGCUUGAAGGAUAUUUUCUAAUGGAUUGGGGGUGGUAGUGCUAAAAGGAACAUGAAUCAUGCAUGAAUAAGGA
This 1329-nucleotide long non-coding RNA is filed under the name Capra hircus (goat). RNAcentral describes it as "lncRNA (ENSCHIG00000001350.1)". Lineage: Eukaryota; Metazoa; Chordata; Mammalia; Artiodactyla; Bovidae. The record is from RNAcentral.